CUCAGCUCCUCCUUCACCACUAUAGUCCGGUACAGCGACCACAUUACUGCUGCCGCUGCUCCCAGUCUGUGGCCGAUCUCACGCUCCCUUCUCCACUCACUCGUGAACAAGACCCCAAGAUACUUGAAUUCCUCCAUCUGGGGCAAAAACUCUCCCCUUACCUGGAGGGGCCAUACCAUCCUUUUCCGUGAGAGAACCAUGGAUUCAGACUUUGAGGUGUUGAUCCUCAUCCCCACUGCUUCACAUUCAGUUGCAAACCGUUCCAGUACGUGUUGGAGGCAGCCAUGUGACGGUGGCAAAAGGACAACAUCAUCCGCAAAAAGCAGAGACGUCACCUUUUGACUCCCACACAGAAUGCCCUCCUGACCUCGACUGCGCCUUGAUAUCUUGUCCAUGAAAACCACAAACAGGAGUGGAGACAAGGCACAACCUUGUGUCUAAUUAGUUAUUAAUAAUUAUGUUAUCCAUUCUGAUGACACUGGUUUUGGGAAUCUAAAUGAAACAAUGGACACGUGAAGAUGUAAAAGACCUCAAUGCCAGGCCACCCAGGCACCCCCUGGCAGUCACAUCUGAUCAGGCUCCAGCUGACUGAGCAUGGUGAUGUGGAGACAGUCAACAUUUCAAGAUCUCUGCAGAGCUGAAGGGAGCAAGGGGAAGUGGAGUUUGAUAGCUUGUAUCUCUAUUCAAGAAAUGAUGUUCGCUCCUCAAAGACCUUCUUCCUGUCCCUUGGUUCUGACUUCAGUCCGCUCCCUACUCAACUUCCACAUUCCGUGAGGCUGUGCAACCGCACUUGGGUCCGACGCACCACAGCCAACAUGAUAGAAGGUUCCGC
RNAcentral lists this long non-coding RNA (832 nucleotides) under Scleropages formosus (Asian bonytongue). RNAcentral's name for it is "lncRNA (ENSSFOG00015031541.1)". Lineage: Eukaryota; Metazoa; Chordata; Actinopteri; Osteoglossiformes; Osteoglossidae. The record is from RNAcentral.